This 72-nucleotide transfer RNA is filed under the name Marmota monax (woodchuck). It matches the Rfam family "tRNA". Rfam says of the family: Transfer RNA (tRNA) molecules are approximately 80 nucleotides in length. The record is from Rfam by way of RNAcentral. Lineage: Eukaryota; Metazoa; Chordata; Mammalia; Rodentia; Sciuridae.
UGGGGUGUAGCUCAAUGACAGAGUGUUUACCUAGCAAGUGGAAGGCUCUAGGUUUGAUCCCCAGCCCCACAA